UGUCAUUAACACUAGGUUUACGGGACCCGCCAAUUUGACGGAUUUCGAACUUCGAAAUGAAAUAUCUCAAAAACCAUAGCAUUAAUUUUAACCAUUUUGCAUCUUAAAUUAAUCAUUUCAUCUAAAGAAUUUAUGCACAAAAUUAUUUUUUUCUAGGCUUUCUAAUUUUUGAAAUCUGUAUGUAGUAUAUCUAUCUCUACGAGACCCCACCCGUAAAAUUGACGGGCUAGCUGAUUUCAUAAACAAUCCGUUUUUCAAAGACAGUGUGCAAAAGUUUCAGUUAUUGUAGACAUUUCCCAUUAUUCUCUCCGCUUAUUCAAUCAUGAGCAAAUCCAGGAGACAUAAUAAGAUAUUGAACAAAAUUGUCAACAUCAAUGAAGAUUUUUCUGAGGAUACCUCCGAAGAAGAUCAGUAUGA
Long non-coding RNA from Bombus impatiens (common eastern bumble bee), 417 nucleotides. RefSeq lists it as uncharacterized. NCBI's taxonomy places the organism in Eukaryota, Metazoa, Arthropoda, Insecta, Hymenoptera, Apidae. The record is from RefSeq and is a predicted model, not a curated record. The transcript is spliced from 3 exons.